This 539-nucleotide ribosomal RNA is filed under the name uncultured bacterium. RNAcentral's name for it is "bacterial SSU rRNA". It matches the Rfam family "Bacterial small subunit ribosomal RNA", at positions 1 to 524 of the family's 1533-position model. The record is from RNAcentral.
CUCGAGGCCAGAUCUAGAGUUUGAUCCUGGCUGAGAACGAACGCUGGCGGCGCGCCUAACACAUGCAAGUCGAGCGAGAGGCCGUAGCAAUACGGUAGUACAGCGGCAAACGGGUGAGUAACACGUGGGUGACCUACCCUGGAGUGGGGAACAACCUGCUGAAAGGCGGGCUAAUACCGCGUACCCUGCCGAGUCCACGGGUUCGGCAGGAUAGCCGUACCGAGGGUACGGCGCUCCUGGAUGGGCUCACGGCCUAUCAGCUAGUUGGUAGGGUAACGGCCUACCAAGGCGACGACGGGUAGCUGGUCUUAGGGGACGAUCAGCCACACUGGCACUGCGACACGGGCCAGACUCCUACGGGAGGCAGCAGUGAGGAAUAUUGCGCAAUGGGCGAAAGCCUGACGCAGCGACGCCGCGUGGGGGAUGAAGGUCUUCGGAUUGUAAACCCCUUUCAGGAGGGAAGAUGGGGCGGGGCAACCCGUUCGGACGGUACCUCCAGAAGAAGCCACGGCUAACUUCGUGCCAGCAGCCGCGGUAAU